This 74-nucleotide transfer RNA is filed under the name Halichondria panicea. Its description in RNAcentral is "tRNA-Pro". It matches the Rfam family "tRNA". From Rfam's summary of the family: Transfer RNA (tRNA) molecules are approximately 80 nucleotides in length. Their secondary structure includes four short double-helical elements and three loops (D, anti-codon, and T loops). RNAcentral also lists the same sequence under 9 other names. Lineage: Eukaryota; Metazoa; Porifera; Demospongiae; Suberitida; Halichondriidae. The record is from RNAcentral.
CAGGGGGUAUAUCAAUUUGGUAGAUUAUCCGCUUUGGGUGUGGUUGGUUGUGGGUUCAAGCCCCAUCUCCCUGA